GAUGAACGCUGGCGGCGUGCCUAAUACAUGCAAGUCGAGCGAACGGACGAGAAGCUUGCUUCUCUGAUGUUAGCGGCGGACGGGUGAGUAACACGUGGAUAACCUACCUAUAAGACUGGGGUAACUUCGGGAAACCGGAGCUAAUACCGGAUAAUAUUUUGAACCGCAUGGUUCAAAAGUGAAAGACGGUCUUGCUGUCACUUAUAGACGGAUCCGCGCUGCAUUAGCUAGUUGGUAAGGUAACGGCUUACCAAGGCAACGAUGCAUAGCCGACCUGAGAGGGUGAUCGGCCACACUGGAACUGAGACACGGUCCAGACUCCUACGGGAGGCAGCAGUAGGGAAUCUUCCGCAAUGGGCGAAAGCCUGACGGAGCAACGCCGCGUGAGUGAUGAAGGUCUUCGGAUCGUAAAACUCUGUUAUUAGGGAAGAACAUAUGUGUAAGUAACUGUGCACAUCUUGACGGUACCUAAUCAGAAAGCCACGGCUAACUACGUG
This 497-nucleotide ribosomal RNA is filed under the name uncultured bacterium. RNAcentral's name for it is "partial 16S ribosomal RNA". It matches the Rfam family "Bacterial small subunit ribosomal RNA", at positions 28 to 507 of the family's 1533-position model. The record is from RNAcentral.